Molecule: ribosomal RNA, 254 nt
Filed under: uncultured bacterium
Lineage: Bacteria
Description: partial 16S ribosomal RNA
Rfam family: Bacterial small subunit ribosomal RNA
Source: RNAcentral
UACAGAGGUCCCGAGCGUUGUUCGGAUUUACUGGGCGUAAAGGGCGCGUAGGCGGUCGUGACAAGGCACUUGUGAAAUCUCCGGGCUUAACUCGGAACGGUCAAGUGAUACUGUCGGACUAGAGUACAGAAGGGGCAACUGGAAUUCUCGGUGUAGCGGUGAAAUGCGUAGAUAUCGAGAGGAACACCUGCGGCGAAGGCGGGUUGCUGGGCUGAUACUGACGCUGAGGAGCGAAAGCGUGGGGAGCGAACAGG